Lepus europaeus (European hare) is the source of this 3345-nucleotide RNA transcript. It is a transcript of the gene named zinc finger protein 271-like, with no coding region annotated. The transcript has 7 exons. Lineage: Eukaryota; Metazoa; Chordata; Mammalia; Lagomorpha; Leporidae. The record is from RefSeq and is a predicted model, not a curated record.
CACUGACCAGAGUGAGUACCAAGAGGCUGCUCUGAUCUUUUCCACUUUGCCUCUCGGUCCGCACUGCAGUCCCAGGCAGUUUGCGAGCACACACCCAGAGCCUGCCGCACGCUGUGGCUGUGCCUCUUCAUUUGCCGUCUGUGGGUUCCACGUGCUGAGGACUUUUUCUGCCCCACACUCUUAAUUUUCCCCUCGUGUGCCCUGAAGAAAAAGGACGUGCUCCCAGGACUUUCUAUGGCAAGUAUAGAGAAUAGGAAGGAAUCCCCACAGAAUCUUCAUCUCCAAUUCCAAAAUGAGCAACUCCUGCUGGCAGAGGUGAUGAUAGCAUUUGAAGACCUGGCUGUUUACUUUACCUUGGAGGAAUGGCAGAACAUGAACAAAGCUCAGAAAAUCCUGUACAGGGAUGUGAUGCUAGAGACCUACAGCAGCCUGCUCUUCUUGGGGCACUGCAUUACCAAACCUGAUUUGAUCUUUAAGUUGGAACAAGGAGCAGAGCCAUGGAUGGUGAAUGAAUGUCUAAAUCAGAGAGUUCCAGUUGCCAUGAAAAGUGAUGACAUAAUUAGGACCAACCAGGAAAUUCAAGAAAAAAAUUCGAAUCAGGAUGCUAUGACAAGUAUCAAUACAUCAACUCCCAAGACAGUUGAAUUAAGAAAAAGACUUAAUUUAAGUUCAAGUCAUGUUUCAAAACUGAUUAUCAGAAAGGGAAAUUAUUCAGCAAUGAAACCUGAGGAGCGCAAUGUGUGUCACAAUGUGUAUCCCCAUGGUGGCCCUGAUGAGCUGCAAGCUGGAGAGAAACUUGAAGCCGCUAAGGUACCUGGGAACUCUGUCCAGUGCUAUGAGCCUCUUAGUGAGUAUCACAAGAUUCAGAAUAUGAAGCAUUCAUUUGAACAUAGUGGACAAGGGAAUGACUUCAAAACAAAGAUAUUUGACAUGGUCCAUAUGGGAGACACCUGUAAUAAGUCAACUGUCACUGUUGGAAGGACAACUGUAAUAAAGAAAACUCUUCAUAAAGAUACUAAUCUCAGUAAGCAUCAACAAAUCAACAGAGGAGAGAAACUAUAUGAAGAUAUAGGAUAUGUGGAACCUCUCAUUUACAAAUCCGAUCUUGCAAUAAAUCAGAGACAACAUAUAUGGAAAAAACCCUACACAUGUAAGCCUUGUGGAAAAUCAUUCAAUUGUAAGUCCUGCCAUACCAUCAUUCACAGUACUCACAUAAAGGAAAACUCCCCUGUGUGUAAUGAAUGUGGAGAAACCACAUACCAAAAGUUAGAUCUCUUUAGGCAUCAGAAAAUUGACACAAAGAAGAAACCUCAUGAAUACAAUGAGUGCAGAAAAGCCAUUUUCCAGAAAUCAUACCUCAUAACACAUCAGAGAAAUCACACAGAGGACAAACCUCAUGAAUGUAAGGAUUGUGGGAAAGCCUUUGGCCAAAAGUCACAUCUUGUUAUGCAUCAGAGAAUUCAUACAGGAGAGAAAUCUUAUGAAUGCAAUGGCUGUGGAGAAGUCUUCCUGUGCAAGUCACAGCUCAUCAAACAUGAGGGAAUUCAUGUAAGUGAGAAACCUCAUGAAUGUAAUGGCUGUGGAAAAGCCUUUGGACAGAAGUCACAUCUCAUAGUGCAUCAGAAAAUUCACAGAGAGAAACCUUAUGAAUGUAAUGACUGUGGAAAAGCCUUCAGCUAUAAGUCACAGCUCAUAAUCCAUCAGAGAAUUCACACAGGGGAGAAACCUUAUGAAUGUAAUGACUGUGGAAAAGCCUACAGCUAUAAGUCACAACUCUUAAUCCAUCAGCGAAUUCACACAGAGGAGAAAGCUUAUGAAUGUAAUGACUGUGGAAAAGCCUUUAGCAAGAAGUCACAACUUGUAAUGCAUCAGAGAAUUCACACAGGGGAGAAACCUUAUGAAUGUAAUGACUGUAGAAAAGCCUUCAACUACAAGUCACAACUCAUAGCCCAUCAGAGAAUUCACACAGGGGAGAAACCUUAUGAGUGCAAUGGAUGUGGAAAAGCCUUUGGCCAGAAAUCAUAUCUCAUAAUGCAUCAGAGAAUUCACACAGGGGAGAAACCUUAUGAAUGUAAUGACUGUGGAAAAGCCUUCAGCUAUAAGUCACAGCUCAUAAUCCAUCAGAGAAUUCACACAGGGGAGAAACCUUAUGAAUGUAAUGACUGUGGAAAAGCCUUUGGCCAGAAGUCGCAUCUCAUAAUCCAUCAGAGAAUCCAUACAGGGGAGAAAGCUUAUGAAUGUAAUGGCUGUGGAAAAGCCUUUGGCAAGAAGUCACAUCUUGUAAUGCAUCAGAGAAUUCACACAAGAGAGAAACCUUAUGAAUGCAAUGGCUGUGGAAAGGCCUUCAUCUAUAACUCACAACUCAUAAUCCAUCAGAGAAUUCACACAGGGGAGAAACCUUAUAAAUGUAAUGACUGUGGAAAAGCCUUUGGCCAGAAGUCGUAUCUCAUAAUCCAUCAAAGAAUUCACACAGGGGAGAAACCUUAUGAAUGUAAUGACUGUGGAAAAGCCUUUGGCCAAAAGUCAGGCCUCAUCAAACACCAGAGAAUUCACACAGGGGAGAAACCUUAUAAAUGUAAUGAGUGCAGUAAAACCUUUGGCCAGAAGUCAUAUCUCAUAAUCCAUCAGAGAAUUCACACAGGGGAGAAACCUCAUGAAUGUAAUUACUGUGGAAAAGCCUUUGGCCAAAAGUCAGGCCUCUUCAAACAUCAGAGAAUCCACACAGGGGAGAAACCUUAUGAAUGCAAUGACUGCAGGAAAACCUUUGCUCAGAAAUCACAACUCAUAAUCCAUCAGAGAAUUCACACAGGGGAAUAACCUCAUGAAUGUAAUGAUUACAGAAAAGUUUUUUGCUGUAAAUUACAACUCAUAACAUGAGCAUCAUUUGUAAGGCUGGAUAGCUGCAACAGAUGGAGCUGUGCCGAUCUGAAGCCAGGAGCCAGGAGCUUCUUCCAGGUCUCAGGUAGAGUUACAGACAGAGAAAGACAGAGAGAAAAGUCUUCAUUCAGUUGCUUCAUCCCCCAAAUGACCACUACGGCUGGUGCUCCACUGAUCCAAAGCCAGGAGCCAGGCUGUCUCCCAUGCGGAUGCAAGGGCCCAAGCACUUGGGCCAUCCUCCACUGCCCUCCUGUGCCACAGCAGAGAACUGGACUGGAAGAGGAGCAACUGAGACUAGAACCCAGUGCCCAUAUGGGAUGCUGGUGCUGCAGAUGGAGGAUUAACCAAGUGAGCCACAGCGCCGAGCCCAGUUUUCUAUUCUUUUGGCAAGAUGUUUUGCCUUAGCAUUCAGUUGUGUUAUGCUUUAAUACUGAGAAAUUUACAAGAGUAGCAAGUAGCAUAUAUCCC